GCCUGCUGGUGGCUCUGGGCAUUGUACCUAAUGAGCUGACAGCAGGUUAGCUGCAGCAAGGUUGUCCCCGUGGGGCUGCGAAUCCUGCCUUAACCAAGCUGACUGGUACUUCUGCUUCUCUGCAUCUGCAAUGAGCCCUGGACUGCUGCAGAGGAUACAGCAGAACUGAGAGGAAAACAGCAGCAGCAGUGCCUGGAGUGCUGCAGGAUGUCGCCAGGAGCUGCCUAGGCUGGGCUGAUGUCCUCUGUCUGCUGCAUGGCCAUAUCCUGCAGAGAGGAAGGGAGGCGGGCAGCGGACAGCGCGCUUUUGGAUGUGUUAACACUAUUACAGAAGACUGUGUGCUAGAUCAGACACUGCAUGGCAUCCCAGAACUGACAUGGAGCCAGUGUGACGGAGACAAGCUGCACAGAUGCUGGACCAUGUGCUGAGGCCAACUCAAUGGAAACAUGGCUAAAGCCCCUUUCAGCGCCUCCUAGCUCAAGUUGGAGUGAAUGAUGGGAGACCCAAGUGCUGUACGGCAUUAGGCUUGGUGAUCUCCCAUGGAGAAAGGUUAAGACUUCUCUCCUGCAAGCAGAAACAUGUCUACUGUGGUUCUCUAGAAAGAAAGCAUCCUAUGCCAGCGACUGGUGUUGGUACACUGCCCUGUGAACGUUCUCAAAAAGCCAAGAGCUUAUCAGUGACAGUGGGGCAGGACCCCGGUUCAGGUUACUGCCACCCUCCAGGAGCAGGCCGGGCAGAUUCACCUCCAGUAUCGAUGUACCUUACUUGCAGUUUCCUUGGAAAAUCUACUUCUGACCAAAAGACCCAGAAACUAUUUUGAACAAAACAGCAUUUCCCUUUUACUUUUGCCUCAUAAGUAUGAAACAAUUGCAUUUGUAGACUGUUUCGACACGAGAAGCAAAAUUUCUGCUGAAAAUGGCUCUGUGAUUUCACACCUGUGAUUCAGAGCAAAACCUGGGAAGGACACAGAAGAAACCACACCCCAGGUGUGUGUAUCCGCAUUCCCACUGCAGAUGUGGCUAACGUGAUGGCUUCAUAAACAUAGAAUCAUAGAAUUGUAGGAUCAUUAAUGUUGGAAAGACCUCUAAGAUCACCUAAUCCAACCAUCAGCCUACCACCAGCAUGCCCGCUGACCACAUCUCCAUGGUUCUUGAACAUCUCCAGGGAUGGAGACUCCACCACCUCUCUGGCUGGUAUUCAAUGCUCUCUGCAAGCACUUGACAGUCCUUUGCACUGCUGCCUGUAUCUGCACACUGGAGGCCAACCUGCUGCUUGAAAGAAAAUCACUCUCAGAAUCACAGUGCCAGGGGAGCCUUCUCCUUAGGAACACCCUAUUCAGGAUCCUUCUGCUCCCAGUCUGUGAUAUCCAAUGCACAGGAAUACACACAGAGGAUCUGCCUCUCUUGGGCUCACUGCUCUCCAAUGCAAGCCUGCAGUUGCAGUCUGCAGUUUGGGCUCUGUUGGUAGCACUGCACUGGCUGCUGACCCUUCCAGGAAGUGCUUUCCUCCUGUACCUCCUCCCACCACCUUGCUUGCGAUCCCAAGUGCUGACCUACAGGAUACCGUGAUGAUCCAGCAUCACCUCCACUGGGCCCCCAGCUGCCGGCUAAUGGAGAGGCCCUGCUGCGCCACGUGUUCCUGUAAGCCUUGGGUCAUCCCAUUUCACGGCUUCUCAGAAGGCAUCUGUCAGUGCGUCCGUUUCAUGAAGUACACAGAACGGAGAUUAAGUUGCAUUUCAACCACCCUUUCCUUUCUUACCAAGCACUUUGCGUAGGAGUGGCAGCCCCUUUGUUAACUGAUGGGAAGCCUAACUAUUGCCACCUCCUCUCCCAGGUCUCCAUCCAGCCUCAUGCGGCACUGGUACCUGAGUGAGCAGGGAGCCCAAGAGCAACACCUGUGUCUGCUUCCAGUUGUUGCAGGAAUACAAUCUCUCCAAACACUCGUGCGGCUGCUGUAUUAUUUAACAAGCCUCCUGCUUAGGAAAAACAGCAUAAAAAUGGAGAUGCUGAAAACAGAGGAUCCUGCUGUAGGCUGCUCCAUAAUACCUUCCUGUUCAGUGAAGAUGUGGUAAUGGAUGUUUUCACUGCAGCCUCACUCCACUCGUGGUGACGAGUUCCCGUAUCCUGUACUUUGCUUGUGCUACACUGCAAGCUUGUGCUCAUCCACUUCAAUGUGUGUUCUGUGAGGCAGCUGAUUCCACUUCCUUUAAAGCAUCCAGAGAAGGACCCUCCAGCACUAACAGAUAAGAACUUCGAGGCUUUCAGCUCAAAACCCCCUGGUGGGAUGAGUGACUUGUGAAAGUGGGAUCACGCUGGCUACAAGAAUCCAUGCCGCAGAGCUCAGGACCAUGCAGGCAUCUCACUGUCCAGAAGUUCUGGAUGAAUUCAGCUCCUGACCUUCUCACCUUGGUUUGAAGUGGGAAUUGCUGUAUAGCUUGGUCUCUUACUCUUCUGACCCUCUAUGUUUUAUGCAUCUAGUAAUGUUAUUCCUUAAAAUAAUCUACUCACAGAGUAUGGCAUUUCCUAUAAUCAGAUAAUCUUGAUGGUAUAAAAAAAAUAAAAUGCUAAUAACUAAAACAGCAUCCAAAGAAAGGAUGCCUCAUCCAAAAACAUCUUCAUAAAAGGCAUAUCUUUAAAUCGAGACACCAGUCUAUGUUAUCCACAAAGACCAGUAAUCACAGACUGAAUUGUAAGAGCUUUCUCCAUGUGCGUACUACAAAACUUGGGAGUGAUUUGCCAAACAGAAAAGCAUACAUUGAUCAGGGAAAUAAAAGCUUCACCACUGAUCCUCUGAGAGGUGAUGGCUAUUAGCAGAAAGAAACUCAACACUGAUCUGGAAAGUGCAAUGUGAAGAUGCCACACAACGCCAAAUAUGAGGACAGUGCUGUGUGCUCUCUGCUUCUAUCAGUCGUGUAACGAGAAGGGUGUUUCUACCUGAAGUACAGACACCUGGCUUCCUACUCAAGCACCACAAGCAAUCUCCUCUGGUAACACAAACUGCUUACUUCACCCCAGAGUUAGAGCUCACUGUAGAACCAUCUGGUUUGGAGUUGUCUUGUCACUACCCAUCUUGUGAAAGAUAUUUUCAGGAUGCUAACAACUCCAUCCAAAAAGUUCUUCUGUUUUGUCACCCAUGAUCACAUAUAUUUAGAUGCCAUAUGCCCUGUAUUCUCCUUCUCCGGAAGCUCUGGGUUGAUUUGUGCCAAGAACUGAAUGUAAGAAAUUUGCCUUUUGUGUGUUAUUGUUCAUAGACUCUCACUCAGCCCCUGGGACUGAGGCAUAACGUAUAUGCGUACAUACUUGAAAAUAGAUUGUCUUGGUGUCCCACUCACAAACUGUGAGCCAACCCGCCUCCCCCACUCCUUGAUGGGAGUCAUUUUGCCAUUUGGGGCUUAUGAAGCAAGAUCUUUGCUAACCCUCUUGUUCUCUGAAAUGCUAUAUAUUGUCUUCCCCUUCAUCCCAGCCUACAGGCAGAACCAGCAUGUGAGGAUGUACGAUGCAUGAUUCAAUGUCAUGCAAAAAUUCUGCUGAACUCCUCACAUUCUGCAGCAAUAGUAAUCUUUGUCUGGUCUGCGACCGGAGAAAGCAAGCUCCAAAGCGUGCAAAGCGUGUUUGACCUUACUUUCAAACACCCGUGUGCACACUCAAAGCCCCAGAGAACUCAUUACAUUCACAGUCUAGAAACUGGUGUUUUGUUCUCCGUCCCUGCUCCGUCUGCCUUUGGAUGAAUGCAGCUGAAAAUGUCAGAGAUGCAGCUCCUAUGUAACGUAAGAGGAGGAUUACAGCUUUCCUGACAUCGGAAGGGGGGGUUACAACAAUGCAGCUGACGUAGGAAAGGACAGAUUACAGUGCAUCUGACAUAGUAGGAAUUAUAGAAAAUGUAUUUACAGCGAUGGCUGGAAAAUGAAUUUAAUAUGCUGUUCCAGAGGACAAUAAAGGCGUGUUGCAACAGUUCUCCCCCCUCUGGAAAGUCGUGUUUCUCACUUGUCCAUCAGCACAAACAAUCUGUGCUGUAUGGCAGGAAAUAUCGGACGCAAAUAUCGCAUUAAUCUCUACGGAAGGAUACCUGUUAUCGUAACUUGCUCAUUCACUAAGGUCUCUCAGUAGUGGCUCAGACAAUAGGUGGAUAUAUCAGGUUUUCCCCCUGGGAGAAGUGUACCACAGGCACAGUGCGGCAGCGGCGACUUUGAUUUUGUUUCUGUUUUCUUUCAGAGCAAGCAAAGUAGAGGGGGGAAGGGAGAGGGGAGAAGCCCUUGAUUUUUCUGCACGUGGUGGACAAAUGCUGCUAAUACCCUCUUCAAAAGAGGCAGAGCGUAGCCCCUUGCUGGGCAGACGUACAGCCAGCCACAAGCAGAUAAAGCAAUUACGUGGGACAUCAGGAAAGCGAUUUCCUUUCCACUUCAGACUGCAGCAUGAGCGCAAUGGAUCUCAGGAGCUGUUGCAUGAAUAUGGAGGAAAUGUGAGGG
RNAcentral lists this long non-coding RNA (4465 nucleotides) under Gallus gallus (chicken). RNAcentral's name for it is "lncRNA (ENSGALG00010014553.1)". Lineage: Eukaryota; Metazoa; Chordata; Aves; Galliformes; Phasianidae. The record is from RNAcentral.